This 888-nucleotide ribosomal RNA is filed under the name uncultured marine group I thaumarchaeote. RNAcentral describes it as "SSU rRNA". It matches the Rfam family "Archaeal small subunit ribosomal RNA", at positions 13 to 906 of the family's 1478-position model. The record is from RNAcentral. Lineage: Archaea; Thermoproteati; Nitrososphaerota.
CCUGCCGGACCUGACUGCUAUCGGAUUGAUACUAAGCCAUGCGAGUCUUUGUAGUAAUACAAGGCAGACGGCUCAGUAACACGUAGUCAACCUACCCUAUGGACAAGAAUAAUCUCGGGAAACUGGGCAUAAUUCUUGAUAGAUCAUAAUGCCUGGAAUGGUUUAUGGUUAAAAUGAUUCGUCGCCAUAGGAUGGGACUGCGGCCUAUCAGCUUGUUGGUGAGGUAAUGGCCCACCAAGGCGAUUACAGGUACGGGCUCUGAGAGGAGAAGCCCGGAGAUGGGUACUGAGACACGGACCCAGGCCCUAUGGGGCGCAGCAGGCGAGAAAACUUUGCAAUGUGCGAAAGCACGACAAGGUUAAUCCGAGUGAUUUCUGCUAAAGAAAUCUUUUGCCAGUCAUAAAACCACUGGUGAAUAAGGGGUGGGCAAGUUCUGGUGUCAGCCGCCGCGGUAAAACCAGCACCUCAAGUGGUCAGGAUGAUUAUUGGGCCUAAAGCAUCCGUAGCCGGCUUUGUAAGUUUUCGGUUAAAUCCAUGUGCUCAACGCAUGGGCUGCCGAAAAUACUGCAUGGCUAGGGAGUGGGAGAGGUAGACGGUACUCAGUAGGAAGGGGUAAAAUCCUUUGAUCUAUUGAUGACCACCUGUGGCGAAGGCGGUCUACCAGAACACGUUCGACGGUGAGGGAUGAAAGCUGGGGGAGCAAACCGGAUUAGAUACCCGGGUAGUCCCAGCUGUAAACGAUGCAGACUCGAUGAUGCAUUGGCAUAAUAGCCAGUGCAGUGUCGCAGGGAAGCCGUUAAGUCUGCCGCCUGGGAAGUACGUACGCAAGUAUGAAACUUAAAGGAAUUGGCGGGGGAGCACCACAAGGGGUGAAGCCUGCGGUUCAAU